Molecule: ribosomal RNA, 343 nt
Filed under: uncultured bacterium
Lineage: Bacteria
Description: bacterial SSU rRNA
Rfam family: Bacterial small subunit ribosomal RNA
Source: RNAcentral
ACGAGUAUGUCAGAGUUUGAUCCUGGCUCAGGAUAAACGCUGACAGAAUGCUUAACACAUGCAAGUCGAUGAUGGGAAGCUAAGCCUAACUUAGAAGAAGUCAUGGCGGACGGGUGAGUAACGUGUAAAGAACUUGCCCUCUAGACUGGGAUAACAGAUAGAAAUGUCUGAUAAUACCGGAUAUUAUUGUUACAUGGCAUCAUGUAGGAAUGAAAGGAUAAGAUUGCUAGAGGAGAGCUUUGCAUCCUAUUAGCUAGUUGGUAAGGUAGUGGCUUACCAAGGCGAUGAUAGGUAGCCGGCCUGAGAGGGUGACCGGCCACAUUGGGACUGAGAUACGGCCCAG